Long non-coding RNA from Harmonia axyridis, 2073 nucleotides. RefSeq lists it as uncharacterized. Lineage: Eukaryota; Metazoa; Arthropoda; Insecta; Coleoptera; Coccinellidae. The transcript is spliced from 2 exons. The record is from RefSeq and is a predicted model, not a curated record.
UCUAUCAUCUUUGUACCUCGAAUUUGGAAAUAUCCGUAUAAAUAAUUUUCAUAUCGCGCAUCCAUAUGUUUGUUGAUAUGAUAUGAUAUUUUACAUAUUGCAUUCAUUGUGUAUUCAGAGUUCAAUAAUUUAAGAUCAAGUAUUUUAAGAGUUGGUUAUUAAAUUUAAAGAUAAAAAAAAUAUAAUAUUUCCUUCAUGGUCAGCUAUUUACAAUUGGAGAGUUGUCAACUGCGGUAUUGAAGCUAUUAGCUAUUUCUUCAACGAUCAUACCGAGGAGGUUAUUUAUCAAGAAUUCCUGCUCCUUCUGCGAGUAAUAAGCCAUUCCAGAGUAUAUUGAAGAAUUAUCUAUUGUGACCUGACGAGAUCUUAUCUGCAACAUCUGCCGUAUAUCAACAUGGAAAGAGAUGAGUAAAAACUAUAUUUGUAAACAUUGAGGAUAUUAUUUUUUCGCAACAUUUUAAAUUUGUCUCUGUGUUUUGAAAUGAUCUCAUUUAUCUGGUAUAAUAUCUACCUCAGUCCUACUUUUUGUGAUAUUUAUACCAGGUUAUCUAAUCAUGUUUGAAUUGUUUUCGAGAAAUUGGUAACAGAUACGACAAAACUAAAGAAAACAAAAAAGGGUAGUACUGGACCAAAGUUUCAUUCAACAUUUUUCUGAAAUACAGUGGUCCUCCAAAAAAAAAAGAACUCUGUUCAAAAGUAGAAUAUCACAUGAUGAAAACUUUUUAUUGAAAAAUCUAUGCCAAAUUGUAGUUAAACAUUUUAUGAAAGUAGAAUACUAUUAAAAAAAUACCUGAAAAAAAAAACAAAUGUGAGCACCACGCAUCUUAAAAACAGAACGUUUGCGGGAUCAUGUUUAUAGCUCUUUAUUUUCGUAAAAUGAUACGGGAAAACUGUUAUUUUCGUUUUCACCUCCAAUUCAAGAACAGCCUGUAGAUAUAAUUAAAGAAAAUUCAAGGAGUUAGGAACACAAGAUUGCAUAAUACUAUAUGCGAAUACUCUAUUAGAAAUACCUACUAGCUUAAGAUUUCGAAGAAAGUUCAUAUAAAUAAAUCGAUAAAAACAAAAAUACAGAAUAACCCAGUAAAUCAUAUUCAAAAUGAUAUUCAAAUAGGUACACAUUUCUCCGAAUCUAAGACAAUUAUGCAAAUAAAAUAAUCAGUUGUUAACUACUGUCAAUAAUGUAACACUUACCACAUCUUUUUUAUUCAUUGAUAUAUCAUGUUUAAAUGGAAUGAAUUUAAGAAAUUUCAAGCCUUUUAUGGAUUCAUUUCGCGCUGUGAAUGAUAAUACAAACUUGUUAGAUGUCGUCAAAUUAAUAAUUAAAGAAAUAUUUCACUGAGCAAGAUCUUCCAAUAAUAUAUAAUUUGACAUUUGUAAUUGAAUCCUUGAAGAAGCAUAUCAAAAAACAUAUCAAUAAGAAAAUUAUAAUAAUAUAAAAUGAUCAGGAAACGCAAUUCUCAACUUUGUUUCUCUGACAAUAUCUGAUGCGGAAUUCAUAAUUAUCCGCAACAUAAUUCUACAUUGGUUAAAUGAAGUGAUUUUCAGUUGUUAACAGAGUAUUUGCUAGUCCUGUAUGUAACGGAAGCAGUACUCCGAGAUUUAACAUACCUCCAUCAUUUUUUAUGGGGAUAAGGAUGCAUUCAGAUACAUUUGAUUCUUCAAUUCCAUUUUAUAUAGGCUCAUUUCAAUUGUUCCUUCGUAUUUGAUUCCAUUUGGUUUUUCAUAAAAUGGAAUACAGAUGGAAUGAAAGUAACUCUAGAUAUAACAUAAAUUCAUAAAAUCUGCCAUAACUUUUGAAUUAUUGAAUGUAAGCGCAUAGUCAUGUUUGAACACUACCCUUAUUUUUCUCGUAAGUAAUAUCAUGAAAGUAUCUAACCUUUUUUGAAAACAAUCACAAAAACAACCAAGUAAUAUUAAAUAAUAUUGAUAAUGGUAAUACAAAAAGCUUGAGUGCUGGUAGCAACAAAAAUCCGAGUCGUGUUUUUUUUUCGAUUUUUUUCACAUGGAAAAUAAAAUGCUCGACAAGACUUAUUUCAUCAUACCAUAAUUACUUAGUAUUGUUAUUUUUCUCCG